UGAACGUCUCGUUGGUCAGCUCGAUGAGGCCACCCGGGGUGAUCGUAGCCGCCCCAUCAAGGAUGAUGUUGUGACCGGUGAAGCCGGUGUAGAGGAACUGCUCAUCGCCUUCUCCGGCACCGGAGGCCGGAAGGUUUAGGUGGCGAUUUAUAGCACUCAGUUCUUGGAGGAGUAUAUGACCCAGUCCAUCUGCUAGCUAGAGCAUCUCUCCCUCAAGGUCAUCAGUGGAAUUCCAUGGAUGUAAGUAAGUCCAGGAGGUGGAAGAAGAAUGAGUUGAAUUGGCAGUAUGCAUGAGCUGGUCUCUGAUCUCCAUGACAGGCACCUGCUUACAUGGUAGAAAUUCAACAACAUCCACAUCAGAUCAGCCAAUCGGAGAUGCUGGCUUUACCACUUACCAGGACACCAUUCUGAUGAUUUUUUUAUAUAUACAUCAAGUGCACCUUUGAGACCUUGACUAUGUGGUACUCCUGGGCCCCACGUUCGACGACUCAGUGUAAAAAAAGAAGUAAACACCGAAAGUAAAAGUUAAGACACUGAUCUUCAUUCGUCCACACAACUUUAGCUUUCAUUUCUACAGUAUAUAUACUUCUUUAACCAUUUCUAUAGUAUACUACGGAGUAUUCUUUAGCUAAAAGCUGACACAGGUGAAACAUGAGCAUGACCCAUAUGGAUGCGAGUGGGUCAAGAUAGACAAAAUUGAGGUCACUGUAAUUAAUUAACGUUCCAUCAUGAAACGAAUCGUGUUGAGUAAGAUGUUGUUCACACAGAAAAGCUAACGAAUCGUGUUGAGUAAGAUGUUGCUCCGGCCCGUCCGUGUGUAUGCAUCAUUACAUCAAAUUAACUAGCAGGGCUGCCUGUGUUGCACCACACCUUUUCUACUAGCUUAUUACUCCUUAUACGUAGUGCAGCAUUAAGAAAAUUCAUCUGCUCUCUUCGAUCCAUAUUAGUUGUCAAAAUAUUACACGUAUCUAGACGCUUUUUGGACAUAAGUACAUUCAUAUUUGCGCAAAUUUGAGACAAUAAUAUGGAUCGGAGGGAUUAGCUUUCUUGUAAUCUAUUAGCUUCUUGUACUUUGAUUGAUAGAGUUAGUUAGGGGUCUCCCCUCCCGGCUUCGUUAAAAAGAAAAUACAUGUAAACAAUCAAAAAUUAGCAUCAGGAGCAUAAGGAAAUAUGACAUGUGAAAUUGAGGACGCAGAAUUAUUGAGACAUGAGUAGCAAAACAUGCAGGUCUUGCAGAAGAAGAAAAAAAAAAUGCUAAAAGCGAACGGGAAAGUUCGCUAAAAACAAAAAAAAAAUACUGGAACCAAACAAUGUUCGUCUGGCUUUGGGCCGAACAUUGGUGGCUUUGGACCUGUUAAUGGAUCGGAGAUUUGAACAAUGGUGGUUUUGGGCCACCAUCGGCACAAGUGGUCAGCGAUUCAAAACGACUCUGCUGUUUGACUCCCAGUUGCUCAGUGCUCCUCCGUCUCUGCUCCGCCCCGACGUCCCGCUGGUCCGGCCAACCUACGCUGCCCCGAAUCCCCAAUGGACCGCCCUGAUGGAGGACGCCGCGCCACCCCGACUCCCCUCGACAUCGGUAAUUCCAUCAAGGUGGAUGCAGGCAAACAUGUUGUGUACUUGCGUGCGUUUCUGCCCUCUUGGGGCUGUUGUAUAAUUCUCUUCUGGAUGCCAACGCGGCACGUGUUGAUUUAGUUUUGGGAGGCGGAGUCAAUCUGAAUCGCCAGUCAAUUAUUUGGAAUCAUGUUUUCAAAUGUUUCGUGAGAAUUGGGAGGCGUGGAGAAGAUCAAAGCAUGAACAUGGAGAAAUGGGCUAGGUUUAGAGAGAGCCAUGAUGAGAAAUGGAUAAGUCCCAAUAAUUGGAAGUAUGCUCAUGCCUCGGAACAUGAUCUGUCUCCCUUGCAGGCUGGGGUAAUGCGAGAUUGGAUUUGGAGUUUUCAGGUGGUGGAGGAUACACCUAUCUUUUGGAUCCUCUUUGGUGUGCUGGAUUAAUCACCUGUGCUGCUUGGGAAGGUCACCAACUAUGUUGCUUAUGCACCGGCUGUACUUAAGACUCCUCUUGGAGCACUAAGCAUAAUAGUGAGUUCAAUGUUAACACACUUUAUGCGGAAGGAGCAGCUUGACAAAAUCGGGAUUCUUGGUUGUAUACCGUGCAUAAUAGGCUCAGUUGUUCCUCAAGAGCACAUGCCGAAUUCUGUAGAAGAAAUCUGGAACCUAGCUACUCAACCUGGUGAAUGAAUCAACUUCUACUUAUCCACACACGUGACUUUUUAUAAUGGCCGCAGUUAUCUGUGGGGUUUCCCAGCUAAAUUACAUCAACAAGGUAAUGUGUCUACUCCUGUGAAUAUGUUUUGCUUACUUGCAAGUAUGUGAACUUGUAUUUCACCGGUUUUAAGAACUUAAAAUUUAACUCCGCCAAGUUGGCAUUCGACCACUUCUUCUGGGAGUGCCCUGCGUCUUUGGCUGGGAGCAGAUCUGGCACUGCUGGGGCCCGUUGAAGUGCCGUCUCUGGGUUCGGUUAGCUUGCACCGACUGAAGCUAGAUGGCCGAUCGUCUGUGACCAGGAGCCCAAAUCCGUUGCCCACCUUCUCAAGGACCGUGUCUUCUCUUGGUCGGUGCUUCACACGUCUUGGACAAGGCUGGCCUAAAGUCAUCUCCAUCUUCAUGCGCGCCCCCCGAUCCGAGGCGACAAAUACUAGCUAUUUCUAGGUCACGGUGAAGAACCUUUUGAUUUUGCAAUUGAGGUUUCUAUACUUGAAAAGAUAAAAAGUGGGUGGCUAUAUAUCCGCAGUCUACGUUUUCAAGCCGGAGGACCAAAGUUUGGGUAUCAUGACUUGCAGCGGGCUAGAGGAUGUUGUUAGAGACCCAUACCCUCAGCAAUGGUGGUGGUACUUUUUUUUCCUUCGGUUAUUGGACCUUUUUUUUUUCCAUUUGUACCUUUUUAGCUUAAAAAACUGCUUUAUUAAACAGGAGUAGGAAAAGGCUGAACAAUCCUAGUCAGAAAUUCAUGUGCAACACUAUAAAACUCAUCUACUCUACUACUAUAAGAGCAUGCUUCGCACAUAGGUGUCCAGCAAAAUUGGCUUCCCUUUUAACAUGGAGAGCUCAAAACACUGAAAACCGAAAUCUCAUACGAAUAUGAGCCUUCAUCUUUUUA
Molecule: long non-coding RNA, 3153 nt
Organism: Brachypodium distachyon (stiff brome)
Lineage: Eukaryota; Viridiplantae; Streptophyta; Magnoliopsida; Poales; Poaceae
Exons: 8
Source: RefSeq, a predicted model, not a curated record